Long non-coding RNA from Globicephala melas (long-finned pilot whale), 344 nucleotides. RefSeq lists it as uncharacterized. NCBI's taxonomy places the organism in Eukaryota, Metazoa, Chordata, Mammalia, Artiodactyla, Delphinidae. The record is from RefSeq and is a predicted model, not a curated record.
GUUGGGCAAGUCCCUUCUCCUCUCUGAGCCAUACGUGGAUGGAGUGGCUGUGAGGUGCCUUCUCCCGGGUGUUUGCCUCCCUGCUCUGUAAUCUGACUCCUUUCUCCCCACCCCUGCUCCUGGAGGGAAGGCCCCAGGGGGCCACCUAGCCACCCAUCCACAGGGCAGCCUCCUCUUCUGCUUGGAACCUGGACCCUGGCUCAACUUGAAUUCCUGGCCUCCACUGGUCUUUCUCUCUGGAGUUGCAUUUUCAGUCUCUGCGUGACUCAGAGCCAAUCCCCUACUCUGAGAAGUGAGUUUCUGAGGAUGGAGUGAGAAAAUGUAAGUGCUGGCCCCAACCUGGC